This 434-nucleotide ribosomal RNA is filed under the name uncultured bacterium. Its description in RNAcentral is "bacterial SSU rRNA". It matches the Rfam family "Bacterial small subunit ribosomal RNA", at positions 961 to 1392 of the family's 1533-position model. The record is from RNAcentral.
ACGCGAGACCUUACCAGGUCUUGACAUCCCCUGACAACCCUGGAGACAGGGCGUUCCCCCUUCGGGGGGACAGGGUGACAGGUGGUGCAUGGUUGUCGUCAGCUCGUGUCGUGAGAUGUUGGGUUAAGUCCCGCAACGAGCGCAACCCUCGCCCCUAGUUGCCAGCAUUCAGUUGGGCACUCUAGGGGGACUGCCGGCUAAAAGUCGGAGGAAGGUGGGGAUGACGUCAAAUCAUCAUGCCCCUUAUGACCUGGGCUACACACGUGCUACAAUGGGCGGUACAAAGGGCUGCGAACCCGCGAGGGGGAGCGAAUCCCAAAAAGCCGCUCUCAGUUCGGAUUGCAGGCUGCAACUCGCCUGCAUGAAGCCGGAAUCGCUAGUAAUCGCGGAUCAGCAUGCCGCGGUGAAUACGUUCCCGGGCCUUGUACACACCG